UGGGGAUUAUUGGACAAUGGGGGCAACCCUGAUCCAGCAAUGCCGCGUGGGUGAUGAAGGCCUUCGGGUUGUAAAGCCCUUUCGACGGGGAAGAUGAUGACGGUACCCGUAGAAGAAGCCCCGGCUAACUCCGUGCCAGCAGCCGCGGUAAUACGGAGGGGGCUAGCGUUGUUCGGAAUUACUGGGCGUAAAGGGCGCGUAGGCGUCCGAAGAAGUCAGGCGUGAAAGCCCCGGGCUCAACCUGGGAAUUGCGCUUGAAACUGAUUGGCUGGAGUCCGGGAGAGGGUAGUGGAAUUCCUAGUGUAGAGGUGAAAUUCGUAGAUAUUGGGAAGAACACCGGUGGCGAAGGCGGCUACCUGGCCCGGGACUGACGCUGAGGCGCGAAAGCGUGGGGAGCAAACAGGAUUAGAUACCCCCGUAGUCC
This 424-nucleotide ribosomal RNA is filed under the name uncultured prokaryote. RNAcentral's name for it is "bacterial SSU rRNA". It matches the Rfam family "Bacterial small subunit ribosomal RNA", at positions 355 to 796 of the family's 1533-position model. The record is from RNAcentral.